UGUUGCUCCAAAAAAACGUCAGACUCCGUAGCCAUGUUGGGAUCAACAGCUCCCAAUUCCCCGGGCCUUACUGUGAACUCUCAUCCUGCUUCUAGGACUGAAUCAUUUUUUGGUAACUGCGAGGAUUGGGGCAGGAGCUGGAGAAUUGGACUCUUUUUCAAGGCUUUGUUCAUUUAACCCUCUUCUCGCCUUCCGAGAGAGUGCACGAGGUUGUUAUCGUCACUUUGCAAGAUUUCCAAUUCAAAUAUGCAAUCAUACUUCACUUGACACCAGUGAUAUGGCAUAGUUUGACUUUGUUUUUCUCUUCUCAGUAGCGCUGUAUGUUUAUGAAAUAUGGGUUAACUGGUCUGUAGAUACAGGAGAGGCACAGCAGGUCUGUAAACAUCUCUGCCGCCACCGAGAGAAAUAACUGCACAUUUAUUGUUCCUGAUUGUUAAAAGGAUUCCAACUGUUUGUUUUUUUAUGUCCAU
Cottoperca gobio is the source of this 470-nucleotide long non-coding RNA. RefSeq lists it as uncharacterized. The record is from RefSeq and is a predicted model, not a curated record. The transcript is spliced from 3 exons. Lineage: Eukaryota; Metazoa; Chordata; Actinopteri; Perciformes; Bovichtidae.